UACAGAGGGUGCGAGCGUUGUCCGGAAUCACUGGGCGUAAAGGGCGCGUAGGCGGUCUGCUAAGCGUGUGGUGAAAGCUCGGGGCUCAACCCCGAGUCGGCCGUGCGAACUGGUGGACUGGAGCCGAUCAGAGGCAGGCGGAAUUCCGGGUGUAGCGGUGGAAUGCGUAGAGAUCCGGAAGAACACCGGUGGCGAAGGCGGCCUGCUGGGAUCGAGCUGACGCUGAGGCGCGACAGCGUGGGGGAGCAAACAGG
RNAcentral lists this ribosomal RNA (254 nucleotides) under uncultured bacterium. Its description in RNAcentral is "partial 16S ribosomal RNA". It matches the Rfam family "Bacterial small subunit ribosomal RNA", at positions 524 to 776 of the family's 1533-position model. The record is from RNAcentral.